Molecule: long non-coding RNA, 1094 nt
Organism: Macrobrachium nipponense
Lineage: Eukaryota; Metazoa; Arthropoda; Malacostraca; Decapoda; Palaemonidae
Exons: 5
Source: RefSeq, a predicted model, not a curated record
GAUUUACGUCGAGUAAGGCUGCUCGAUUGCACGACACGCCGCUCUGCUUACUAACAAGUUCCAAAGCCUUGCACGUGAGCACGAAUUGCAAGAAAAGCACAACGGAAAGCUUCCUGUCGAACUCCACAUAGAGAUGCAUUACAAAUGGAUGUUCCUGGGCAUAGUGAUGGCUGCCAUUGUUGCCACAACAGUUGCCAGAUCGCAUCUCAGGCAAGAGGGUCCGAUCAAAUGUCCCAACGUCGUUGUCAGGCAACACCCGGAGAUCUAUAGGCUCCGGGAAGUAGCCGAGGAGAGGAAGGACAAAGAGAAAGUCAAGCCGAAUAAUCACAAGGACAAAGGCAGCAAGGAGGACAAAGGCAGCAAGGAGGACAAAGGAAAGAAAGACAGUGAUGAAAGCAAAGAUAGUGACGAAAGCAAGAGUGACGAGAAUUCGAGUGGCGAACAUUCUGGUGAAUUGAUAACCACGACUUUGGGCACACAGACCACGAGUGAAUUCCAACCCACCGACGAUCCUAUUAGCUCUUCUUAUACCACCACGACACCGUUUGUAUAUCUGUUCCCAUGCACGGGAUUCUGCCGGGAGUUCUGUCUUGUCACCGAGAGAGAGGAGACGAAGGAAUCGUGCGCACCUUUUGUUUGGUGCAAAUGCUGCGUCAGCCGGUAAAACUACUUGAUUCUUAAUUCCACGCUUUGUGUGCUACUGGAUUUUAGUUCAUAAUUGAUCGACGUGACUGAUUCGUUAUUGGUAUGAAGCAUUGUGGUUGACUUCGCGAGAUCCAUUCACUUUUACGUAAGAAGAAGAAGACAUUGCUUAAUUAUUGUGGACGCUGCUCGGACAGUGAAGAGUCUAGCAGUUUAUCCAUCUCUGAAAUAUUAUUGGACUUUGAAGAUACCAAUGUAAUUGUACAAAUAGAAUAAAUUCUUGUUUUGAUUAAUUCAAGUAAAUCAGUUUAGGUAUAUGAUGUCAAAUGGAAUACAUUUUCUGCUAAUGAUACGUUGUUCGUAUUAAUGCCAUAUCUAAUUAAUAUUAUUUAUAAAUGAAGUGGAUUGUUGUGUCUUAUCUCAUAUAAUAUCUGAUUAAACUAAUUUAGUGA